GCUUAGCAUGAAGUGAAGCACAUACACCUGCUGAAUUUAAGCAUAUAAGUAAGUGGUGGAAAUUAAACCAAAUGGGAUAUCUUUAGUAAUUGCGAAUGAACAAGGAUAUGCUUAGCUUGACAAAUGGAGCUAUUGGCUUUGAAUUGUAUUGUGGAAAUGUAUUACCAACAGAGGUGCAGGUGCCAGCCUAUUGAAAUAAAGCGUCAAUGAGGGUGAGAAUCCUGUUUGUCAUGUGCAGCCCUUUGUGCACGGUGUAUAUUUGCUGAGUCACACUCCUUGGCAUUGGAAUGCAAAGUGGGUGGUAAGUUUCAUGUAAAGGUAAACAUGCAAUUGAGACUGAUAGCACACAAGUACCAUGAGGGAAAUAUGAAAAGGACUUUGAAAAGAGAAUUAAAUGAGUUUGUAUUUGCUGAACACAAAGUAAACAGACUUGAUUUGCUUGGUGGGAGUGUUGCACUUGCUUGACAAGAGCUUUGGGCUGUGGGUGUAAUGAUUCUUUCUUUGCAUGCCAGUUUCUAUUUGUACAUCUGAUUACCUUUGCACAUGAAUGAUAAGUCUCCUGUGGGGGGUGGAUUGCAUGUGCAUGUAAUGAUUUGUGUUUUGAUACAUGUGUCUGGUGUAUGUGUGUGUGUUCCUGUGCUUGGGGAUGCUUCCUUCCUUGGACUUACAAGCCCUGACACACACAUGCUGGCAAAAUGCUUCUGCUUGACCCGUCUUGAAACACGGACCAAGGAGUCUAACAGAUGUGCAAAGUUUGAAGGUGGUAUACCUUUGUGUGCAAUGAAAGUGUCAGCUGGGAUAUGUGCACCAGCACCCAAUUAAUUAGCGGACAGAGGUUUGAGUUGGAGCAUAUCUAUUAGGACCCGAAAGAUGGUGAACUAUGCCUGAACAGAAUGAAUUCAGAGGAAACUCUGAUGGGGGUUCGUAUCGAUACUGACGUGCAAAUCGUUCGU
RNAcentral lists this ribosomal RNA (953 nucleotides) under Alexandrium tamarense. Its description in RNAcentral is "LSU rRNA". It matches the Rfam family "Eukaryotic large subunit ribosomal RNA", at positions 1 to 905 of the family's 3401-position model. The record is from RNAcentral. Lineage: Eukaryota; Dinophyceae; Gonyaulacales; Pyrocystaceae.